GGGAUUUAGUAGACAGAAGCUUCGGUGGAAGAUUACUAAUGAGAGUGGCGAACGGGUGAGUAACGCGUGAGCAACCUGCCUAUGACAGUGGGAUAGCCUCGGGAAACCGGGAUUAAUACCGCAUAAAAUCGUAGAAACACAUGUUUUAGCGGUCAAAGAUUUAUCGGUCAUAGAUGGGCUCGCGUCUGAUUAGCUAGUUGGUGAGAUAACAGCCCACCAAGGCGACGAUCAGUAGCCGGUCUGAGAGGAUGAACGGCCACAUUGGAACUGAGACACGGUCCAAACUCCUACGGGAGGCAGCAGUGGGGAAUAUUGCACAAUGGGGGAAACCCUGAUGCAGCGACGCCGCGUGAACGAAGAAGGUAUUCGUAUCGUAAAGUUCUGUCCUAUGGGAAGAUAAUGACAGUACCAUAGAAGAAAGCUCCGGCUAAAUACGUGCCAGCAGCCGCGGUAAUACGUAUGGAGCGAGCGUUGUCCGGAAUUAUUGGGCGUAAAGGGUACGCAGGCGGUUUAAUAAGUCGAAUGUUAAAGAUCGGGGCUCAACCCCGCAAAGCAUUGGAAACUGAUAAACUUGAGUAGUGGAGAGGAAAGUGGAAUUCCUAGUGUAGUGGUGAAAUACGUAGAUAUUAGGAGGAAUACCAGUAGCGAAGGCGACUUU
RNAcentral lists this ribosomal RNA (658 nucleotides) under uncultured Eubacteriales bacterium. Its description in RNAcentral is "bacterial SSU rRNA". It matches the Rfam family "Bacterial small subunit ribosomal RNA", at positions 64 to 728 of the family's 1533-position model. Lineage: Bacteria; Bacillati; Bacillota; Clostridia; Eubacteriales. The record is from RNAcentral.